This 301-nucleotide ribosomal RNA is filed under the name uncultured bacterium. RNAcentral's name for it is "partial 16S ribosomal RNA". It matches the Rfam family "Bacterial small subunit ribosomal RNA", at positions 509 to 807 of the family's 1533-position model. The record is from RNAcentral.
CAGUCGCCGCGGUAAUACGUAGGGUGCAAGCGUUAAUCGGAAUUACUGGGCGUAAAGCGUGCGCAGGCGGUUUUGUAAGACAGAGGUGAAAUCCCCGGGCUCAACCUGGGAACUGCCUUUGUGACUGCAAGGCUAGAGUACGGCAGAGGGGGAUGGAAUUCCGCGUGUAGCAGUGAAAUGCGUAUAUAUGCGGAGGAACACCGAUGGCGAAGGCAAUCCCCUGGGCCUGUACUGACGCUCAUGCACGAAAGCGUGGGGAGCAAACAGGAUUAGAUACACCGGUAGUCCCUGUCUCUUAUAC